GACGAACGCUGGCGGCGUGCUUAACACAUGCAAGUCGAACGGAAAGGCCCUGCUUGCAGGGUACUCGAGUGGCGAACGGGUGAGUAACACGUGGGUGAUCUGCCCUGCACUUCGGGAUAAGCCUGGGAAACUGGGUCUAAUACCGGAUAGGAGCCAUUUUUAGUGUGAUGGUUGGAAAGUUUUUUCGGUGUAGGAUGAGCUCGCGGCCUAUCAGCUUGUUGGUGGGGUAAUGGCCUACCAAGGCGGCGACGGGUAGCCGGCCUGAGAGGGUGGACGGCCAAAUUGGGACUGAGAGACGGCCCAGACUCCUACGGGAGGCAGCAGGGGGGAAUAUUGCACAAUGGGCGCAAGCCUGAUGCAGCGACGCCGCGUGGGGGAUGACGGCCUUCGGGUUGUAAACUCCUUUCGCUAGGGACGAAGCUUUUUGUGACGGUACCUAGAUAAGAAGCACCGGCUAACUACGUG
This 465-nucleotide ribosomal RNA is filed under the name uncultured bacterium. RNAcentral's name for it is "partial 16S ribosomal RNA". It matches the Rfam family "Bacterial small subunit ribosomal RNA", at positions 28 to 507 of the family's 1533-position model. The record is from RNAcentral.